UUAUCUUAAUUAAAAUCAUUACGAAAUGAGUACUGAUAGUAUCUGUAAAAUAAUGUAAACAAAGAGUGUAGGAAACUUUAUUAUGCUAUAUCAUUUAUUAUGUAGUUAAUACUUACACUUUGUUAAUAAAAAAAUAGUUUAUAUAAAAGUUUGUUGUUAAUAUAAUAAUAAACAGUUUAUAUGAUAUACAUUUUUCAUUAAUCACCACAAAUUAAGCUUAAGAACAAAAAGUGAUACAAUCUAACCUAACAUCAAUUGCUGUGUAAUGUUUAUCGACUAAACUUCGAUUGUGUCAUUGACAAGUUUAUCGAUUAUUUCAAAAUAAGUUAAAAUGUAUACAGGGCUUUCCUCAGGACCACUAUCAUCCUGUUGUGAGUGACUCUGCUGAUCACUACCUGGAAGGCUACCAUAUUGUUGUGCAUCUUCACUAUGUCCAGAGGCAGACGAGGAGCUUGAAGAAAGCGGUUUAGUAUUAAGUGCACCAAGCGAAUUAAAUGUUCCAAGAGGACCACCAACAUUGCUUGUACCACUGCUAACACCAACAGAUAGUUGACUGUCACCUGUAAAACCGGACACCAUGUUCGUUGUCCUAGGAAAGAAAAGA
This 604-nucleotide unclassified non-coding RNA is filed under the name Bombus terrestris (buff-tailed bumblebee). RNAcentral's name for it is "misc RNA ENSBTSG00005021551.1". Lineage: Eukaryota; Metazoa; Arthropoda; Insecta; Hymenoptera; Apidae. The record is from RNAcentral.